UUCUGACAGGAGCCAACAGACCCCGAUCCAAAUUUCUUUCGGAGCUUCGUCAGUACAUCAGUGGCCAAACUUUCCCAACAUCAGAUCUCCACGACGGACGGACUCCAUCCAAAUUUCUACGAUAGUCGACCGCCUUCCAGACUUCUUCUCCGAUCUCCUACUGCAGGUGGACUUCAUCCGGGCUCCUACGGGAGCCAGACUUCUUCUCCGAACUCCUACUGCAAGUGGACUUCAUCCGGGCUCUUACGGGAGCCGGACUUCUUCUCCGAACUCCU
Molecule: long non-coding RNA, 275 nt
Filed under: Elaeis guineensis (African oil palm)
Lineage: Eukaryota; Viridiplantae; Streptophyta; Magnoliopsida; Arecales; Arecaceae
Description: long non-coding RNA (EGUI_LNC072613)
Source: RNAcentral